This 582-nucleotide long non-coding RNA is filed under the name Equus caballus (horse). Its description in RNAcentral is "lncRNA (ENSECAG00000041553.2)". The record is from RNAcentral. Lineage: Eukaryota; Metazoa; Chordata; Mammalia; Perissodactyla; Equidae.
GGAAGAUAGUUCUCAAUUAUAUUAAAAUGGAUCUCUUCACUCUCUCAAGCUGGGGAAUAUCUGGAUCUGAAUACAAGUACAAAUAAAAGGAUGAAAGUGGACAAAAUUGUAAGAAAGACUCAGUAAGAAGAUGCCAAUUGAAACUAGAAGAAAACUGAAUCAGAUGCAGUUGUCUCAGUCUAGAGCAAGCAGCCUAACCCUUUACAUAGGAAUAUAAGGAGAAUUAACUCCUUACUCACAAGAAUUACCACCAAAAAGCAACCAGAAGAACUCCGUGGACAGAGAAAAGAGCUGUGAGGACACAUCAGAAAGUAGAUGCAACUGAGCCUAAAACUUGGCAUCUGAUACUUCCACUGGGAAAUAAUUCUAUCAGAGAACACUGGCGCUUGUCUUCUCUCCCUCUCAAGACCCCAUUAUAAUGAAAGUCUGGAACUCUGAAAGUAAGGAAUUCAUCACAGAGAAGAAAUAUGCCGGGGAUAUCAAGAGGUCAAGAUCUACAGUAUAAGAGAGUUCAACAAAUGUCUGGAAAAUAGAUUGUAGUUGAAGUGGGUUGACAAAACUGUUGAAGAAUUUGCAGUCCAG